RNAcentral lists this ribosomal RNA (427 nucleotides) under uncultured bacterium. RNAcentral's name for it is "partial 16S ribosomal RNA". It matches the Rfam family "Bacterial small subunit ribosomal RNA", at positions 355 to 774 of the family's 1533-position model. The record is from RNAcentral.
UGGGGAAUAUUGCACAAUGGGCGCAAGCCUGAUGCAGCCAUGCCGCGUGUAUGAAGAAGGCCUUCGGGUUGUAAAGUACUUUCAGCGGGGAGGAAGGUGUUGUGGUUAAUAACCACAGCAAUUGACGUUACCCGCAGAAGAAGCACCGGCUAACUCCGUGCCAGCAGCCGCGGUAAUACGGAGGGUGCAAGCGUUAAUCGGAAUUCCUGGGCGUAAAGCGCACGCAGGCGGUCUGUCAAGUCGGAUGUGAAAUCCCCGGGCUCAACCUGGGAACUGCAUCCGAAACUGGCAGGCUUGAGUCUUGUAGAGGGGGGUAGAAUUCCAGGUGUAGCGGUGAAAUGCGUAGAGAUCUGGAGGAAUACCGGUGGCGAAGGCGGCCCCCUGGACAAAGACUGACGCUCAGGUGCGAAAGCGUGGGGAGCAAACA